AUACUUACCUGGCAGAGACAAUACCAUGAUCACGAAGGUGGUUUCCCCAGGGCGAGGCUCACCCAUAAAACUUCGAGUGUGCUGACCUCUUUGAUUUCCCCAAAUGUGGAAAACUUGACUGCGUAAUUUGUGGUAGUGGGGGACUUCGUUCGUGCUCUCCCCUG
This is a small nuclear RNA of Suncus etruscus (white-toothed pygmy shrew), 164 nucleotides long. RefSeq annotates it as U1 spliceosomal RNA. Lineage: Eukaryota; Metazoa; Chordata; Mammalia; Eulipotyphla; Soricidae. The transcript has a single exon. The record is from RefSeq and is a predicted model, not a curated record.